RNAcentral lists this ribosomal RNA (535 nucleotides) under uncultured bacterium. RNAcentral describes it as "bacterial SSU rRNA". It matches the Rfam family "Bacterial small subunit ribosomal RNA", at positions 54 to 590 of the family's 1533-position model. The record is from RNAcentral.
CAUGCAGUCGAGGGGUAUAGUUCUUCGGAAUUAGAGACCGGCGCACGGGUGCGUAACGCGUAUGCAAUCUACCUUUCACAGAGGGAUAGCCCAGAGAAAUUUGGAUUAAUACCUCAUAGUAUAACGACUCUGCAUGGAGAUGUUAUUAAAGUCACAACGGUGAAAGAUGAGCAUGCGUCCCAUUAGCUAGUUGGUAAGGUAACGGCUUACCAAGGCUACGAUGGGUAGGGGUCCUGAGAGGGAGAUCCCCCACACUGGUACUGAGACACGGACCAGACUCCUACGGGAGGCAGCAGUGAGGAAUAUUGGACAAUGGGCGCAAGCCUGAUCCAGCCACGCCGCGUGCAGGAUGACGGUCCUAUGGAUUGUAAACUGCUUUUGCACANGAAGAAACAACGCUACGUGUAGCGUCUUGACGGUACUGUGAGAAUAAGGAUCGGCUAACUCCGUGCCAGCAGCCGCGGUAAUACGGAGGAUCCAAGCGUUAUUCGGAAUCAUUGGGGUUUAAAGGGUCCGUAGGCGGUUUAUUAAGUCA